Molecule: ribosomal RNA, 708 nt
Filed under: Hirticrusta amazonica
Lineage: Eukaryota; Fungi; Basidiomycota; Agaricomycetes; Polyporales; Polyporaceae
Description: partial 28S ribosomal RNA
Source: RNAcentral
GGACCGUGUAUAAGUCUCUUGGAACAGAGCGUCAUAGAGGGUGAGAAUCCCGUCUUUGACACGGACUACCAGUGCUUUGUGAUGCGCUCUCAAAGAGUCGAGUUGUUUGGGAAUGCAGCUCAAAAUGGGUGGUAAAUUCCAUCUAAAGCUAAAUAUUGGCGAGAGACCGAUAGCGAACAAGUACCGUGAGGGAAAGAUGAAAAGCACUUUGGAAAGAGAGUUAAACAGUACGUGAAAUUGCUGAAAGGGAAACGCUUGAAGUCAGUCGCGUCUGCCGGAACUCAGCCUUGCUUUCGCUUGGUGCACUUUCCGGUUGACGGGCCAGCAUCGAUUUUGACCGUCGGAAAAGGGCUGGGGAAAUGUGGCACCUUCGGGUGUGUUAUAGUCUCCAGUCGCAUACGGCGGUCGGGAUCGAGGAACGCAGCGCGCCGCAAGGCAGGGGUUCGCCCACUUUCGCGCUUAGGAUGCUGGCAUAAUGGCUUUAAACGACCCGUCUUGAAACACGGACCAAGGAGUCUAACAWACCUGCGAGUGUUUGGGUGGAAAACCCGAGCGCGUAAUGAAAGUGAAAGUUGAGACCUCUGUCGUGGAGGGCAUCGACGCCCGGACCUGACGUUCUCUGACGGAUCCGCGGUAGAGCAUGUUUGUUGGGACCCGAAAGAUGGUGAACUAUGCCUGAAUAGGGUGAAGCCAGAGGAAACUCUGGUG